CCUAUCGUUGCUGGGUACCAGGUGACUCAUGACGUAGCAGAGCAAGCCUGUGCCACAGCAUCUCCUCCUCCUCUGGGCAGCUGGGAGUUGUGGAAGGUCAGUACAGUGAAGGACAAUGUCUGCACAUCUCAGAUUUUAGAUUUCAUUCCCUUCAAAAUAACCUGUGGAGGUGGGAAAGUGCUAACGCAGACUCCUGUGGACCUGAAAACCUUUAUUUUGACUGAUUUGACAGAUCUUCUGCAUGAAAACAUUCAGGCUGCGACUUUUUCGGAGACAGAAGUCAAUAUCCUAACUUCUCUAAAGAAACAGCUGAAUACCCCCCUCUCAGUGGGGAACCUUCAAGAAUAAGUGAAGUAAAAAUUGCUGAUUGCAGAUUGUCUGGCAUCUGAAAUGUAAUGCAGUAAUGAAACACUGUUAAGAAAAAUCAAUAAAUUCCCCAACAUGCUGGUUGCUGUUUGAAAAUGUCUCAUUUCUUCCAUGUUACAAAUUAUAUCCUCCUGCGUCAG
Molecule: long non-coding RNA, 506 nt
Organism: Lepisosteus oculatus (spotted gar)
Lineage: Eukaryota; Metazoa; Chordata; Actinopteri; Semionotiformes; Lepisosteidae
Source: Ensembl